This 127-nucleotide small RNA is filed under the name Leclercia adecarboxylata. Its description in RNAcentral is "RtT sRNA". It matches the Rfam family "RtT RNA". Rfam says of the family: This family represents a bacterial cis-regulatory element known as RtT RNA. RNAcentral also lists the same sequence under 2 other names. The record is from RNAcentral. Lineage: Bacteria; Pseudomonadati; Pseudomonadota; Gammaproteobacteria; Enterobacterales; Enterobacteriaceae.
AUUCUUCCGAUGCAGGGAAGGAUGAGAAGCUUCGACUAAGGUUCGAUUCGAGCGCAGCGAGAAAGCGUUGCCGCAGGCAACGACCCGAAGGGCGAGGCGCAGCCGAGUUAUCCUUCCCCCACCACCA